UGCACACGCUGAAGCAGCUCUUC
RNAcentral lists this non-coding RNA (23 nucleotides) under Arabidopsis thaliana (thale cress). The record is from RNAcentral. Lineage: Eukaryota; Viridiplantae; Streptophyta; Magnoliopsida; Brassicales; Brassicaceae.